GAUGAACGCUGGCGGCGUGCCUAAUACAUGCAAGUCGAGCGAACGGACGAGAAGCUUGCUUCUCUGAUGUUAGCGGCGGACGGGUGAGUAACACGUGGAUAACCUACCUAUAAGACUGGGAUAACUUCGGGAAACCGGAGCUAAUACCGGAUAAUAUUUUGAACCGCAUGGUUCAAAAGUGAAAGACGGUCUUGCUGUCACUUAUAGAUGGAUCCGCGCUGCAUUAGCUAGUUGGUAAGGUAACGGCUUACCAAGGCAACGAUGCAUAGCCGACCUGAGAGGGUGAUCGGCCACACUGGAACUGAGACACGGUCCAGACUCCUACGGGAGGCAGCAGUAGGGAAUCUUCCGCAAUGGGCGAAAGCCUGACGGAGCAACGCCGCGUGAGUGAUGAAGGUCUUCGGAUCGUAAAACUCUGUUAUUAGGGAAGAACAUAUGUGUAAGUAACUGUGCACAUCUUGACGGUACCUAAUCAGAAAGCCACGGCUAACUACGUGCCAGCAGCCGCGGUAAUACGUAGGUGGCAAGCGUUAUCCGGAAUUAUUGGGCGUAAAGCGCGCGUAGGCGGUUUUUUAAGUCUGAUGUGAAAGCCCACGGCUCAACCGUGGAGGGUCAUUGGAAACUGGAAAACUUGAGUGCAGAAGAGGAAAGUGGAAUUCCAUGUGUAGCGGUGAAAUGCGCAGAGAUAUGGAGGAACACCAGUGGCGAAGGCGACUUUCUGGUCUGUAACUGACGCUGAUGUGCGAAAGCGUGGGGAUCAAACAGGAUUAGAUACCCUGGUAGUCCACGCCGUAAACGAUGAGUGCUAAGUGUUAGGGGGUUUCCGCCCCUUAGUGCUGCAGCUAACGCAUUAAGCACUCCGCCUGGGGAGUACGACCGCAAGGUUGAAACUCAAAGGAAUUGACGGGGACCCGCACAAGCGGUGGAGCAUGUGGUUUAAUUCGAAGCAACGCGAAGAACCUUACCAAAUCUUGACAUCCUUUGACAACUCUAGAGAUAGAGCUUUCCCCUUCGGGGGACAAAGUGACAGGUGGUGCAUGGUUGUCGUCAGCUCGUGUCGUGAGAUGUUGGGUUAAGUCCCGCAACGAGCGCAACCCUUAAGCUUAGUUGCCAUCAUUAAGUUGGGCACUCUAAGUUGACUGCCGGUGACAAACCGGAGGAAGGUGGGGAUGACGUCAAAUCAUCAUGCCCCUUAUGAUUUGGGCUACACACGUGCUACAAUGGACAAUACAAAGGGCAGCGAAACCGCGAGGUCAAGCAAAUCCCAUAAAGUUGUUCUCAGUUCGGAUUGUAGUCUGCAACUCGACUCCAUGAAGCUGGAAUCGCUAGUAAUCGUAGAUCAGCAUGCUACGGUGAAUACGUUCCCGGGUCU
This 1372-nucleotide ribosomal RNA is filed under the name uncultured bacterium. RNAcentral's name for it is "bacterial SSU rRNA". It matches the Rfam family "Bacterial small subunit ribosomal RNA", at positions 28 to 1381 of the family's 1533-position model. The record is from RNAcentral.